This 864-nucleotide long non-coding RNA is filed under the name Nicotiana benthamiana. RNAcentral's name for it is "long non-coding RNA (NBEN_LNC011027)". The record is from RNAcentral. Lineage: Eukaryota; Viridiplantae; Streptophyta; Magnoliopsida; Solanales; Solanaceae.
GGGUUUUUGUUCUUACAUUUCUGCCUUAGCUCACAGAUCUUCGAGUUGACAUGGUAUCAAACAAGAAAAUAUGACUCCUCUUAUCCCGAGCUUCACUCCGAUCUUACCCUCUCUCUGAGUUUCCAUUGAUUCGAUCUUCGAUUUAUCCAGAAUAACAAAAAUGUCGAACUAUAUUUUCCACCGGUAAUUAUUGGGGAUUUCAUCAUCGGUUGACUCCUAGUACCUUCAUGAUGCAGAACAUAUCGAAUUUUCUCAAUCUCCGCACAUGAUUUGGUUAAAUAUGUUUCCUAGGGUUUAUGCUUCAGAGAAGACUUUUCUUCUUCGAGUUUCAGAAGAAGGCUGGUAAUUUCCUUCUCAUUAAAUGGCUUAGAUUUGAAUACAUGUCUUGACCUAUGUUCAGAAAAACUUCUUCUUUUGUUGCGCUGUAGAUAUUAUUGCAUAUAUUUGUUCUGAUUCAAUUUAGUUGAGUUUCAUGUUAUGGAUAGCAUUAUGGAUAAUCUAGGAUCACCUAGUAACAUAUCUUAUGAUGGUAUCAUACCUUUUACACUAUUUCCAUCUAAUGCACUGUAUGUUCACCCUUCUGAUAGUCAUGGUAGUCAAUUGGUAGUUGUACCUUUCAAUAGGCGUGGUUUUGUUCUUUGGAGAAGUAGUAUUCUUACUUCUCUAUCUGCAAAGAACUAAGUUAGGGCUUUUAGAGGGUAGAGAUCCCCAACCCUCAUUAGACUCCCCUUAUUAUUCGUACUGGGAAGAGGUGCAAUGACAUGGUUAAGGCAUCGAUCACUAACUUUCUGUCUUGGGAUAUUGCAACAGGUGUCAGGUGUCUUAAGACUCUCAGGGAAUUUUAGAAAGAUAUUAACGAUAGAU